RNAcentral lists this ribosomal RNA (497 nucleotides) under uncultured bacterium. RNAcentral describes it as "partial 16S ribosomal RNA". It matches the Rfam family "Bacterial small subunit ribosomal RNA", at positions 28 to 507 of the family's 1533-position model. The record is from RNAcentral.
GACGAACGCUGGCGGCGUGCCUAAUACAUGCAAGUUGAGCGCUGAAGGUUGGUACUUGUACCAACUGGAUGAGCAGCGAACGGGUGAGUAACGCGUGGGGAAUCUGCCUUUGAGCGGGGGACAACAUUUGGAAACGAAUGCUAAUACCGCAUAAAAACUUUAAACACAAGUUUUAAGUUUGAAAGAUGCAAUUGCAUCACUCAAAGAUGAUCCCGCGUUGUAUUAGCUAGUUGGUGAGGUAAAGGCUCACCAAGGCGAUGAUACAUAGCCGACCUGAGAGGGUGAUCGGCCACAUUGGGACGGAGACACGGCCCAAACUCCUACGGGAGGCAGCAGUAGGGAAUCUUCGGCAAUGGACGAAAGUCUGACCGAGCAACGCCACGUGAGUGAAGAAGGUUUUCGGAUCGUAAAACUCUGUUGGUAGAGAAGAACGUUGGUGAGAGUGGAAAGCUCAUCAAGUGACGGUAACUACCCAGAAAGGGACGGCUAACUACGUG